RNAcentral lists this ribosomal RNA (208 nucleotides) under uncultured bacterium. Its description in RNAcentral is "partial 16S ribosomal RNA". It matches the Rfam family "Bacterial small subunit ribosomal RNA", at positions 568 to 774 of the family's 1533-position model. The record is from RNAcentral.
CGCGCAGGUGGUUUCUUAAGUCUGAUGUGAAAGCCCACGGCUCAACCGUGGAGGGUCAUUGGAAACUGGGAGACUUGAGUGCAGAAGAGGAUAGUGGAAUUCCAAGUGUAGCGGUGAAAUGCGUAGAGAUUUGGAGGAACACCAGUGGCGAAGGCGACUGUCUGGUCUGUAACUGACACUGAGGCACGAAAGCGUGGGGAGGCAAACA